This 253-nucleotide ribosomal RNA is filed under the name uncultured bacterium. RNAcentral's name for it is "partial 16S ribosomal RNA". It matches the Rfam family "Bacterial small subunit ribosomal RNA", at positions 524 to 776 of the family's 1533-position model. The record is from RNAcentral.
UACGGAGGGUGCAAGCGUUGUCCGGAAUCACUGGGCGUAAAGGGCGCGUAGGCGGCUCAUGAAGGCUGUGGUGAAAGUCCGGGGCUCAACCUCGGAUCGGCCGUGGCGACUCGUGGGCUGGAGCACUGUAGAGGCGGGUGGAAUCCCGGGUGUAGCGGUGGAAUGCGUAGAGAUCCGGAAGAACACCAGUGGCGAAGGCGGCCCGCUGGGCAGUGGCUGACGCUGAGGCGCGACAGCGUGGGGAGCAAACAGG